Molecule: non-coding RNA, 102 nt
Organism: Cavia porcellus (domestic guinea pig)
Lineage: Eukaryota; Metazoa; Chordata; Mammalia; Rodentia; Caviidae
Rfam family: Y RNA
About the family: Y RNAs are components of the Ro ribonucleoprotein particle (Ro RNP), in association with Ro60 and La proteins. The Y RNAs and Ro60 and La proteins are well conserved, but the function of the Ro RNP is not known.
Source: Rfam
GGCUGGUCCGUGUGCAGUGGUGUUUACAACUAAUUGAUAACAAUGAGUUACAGAUUUCUUUGUUCCUUCUCUACUCCCACUGCUUCACUUGACUAGCCUUAA